Molecule: ribosomal RNA, 372 nt
Filed under: uncultured organism
Description: bacterial SSU rRNA
Rfam family: Bacterial small subunit ribosomal RNA
Source: RNAcentral
CGUAGGUGGCAAGCGUUGUCCGGAAUUAUUGGGCGUAAAGCGCGCGCAGGCGGUUCCUUAAGUCUGAUGUGAAAGCCCCCGGCUCAACCGGGGAAGGUCAUUGGAAACUGGGGAACUUGAGUGCAGAAGAGAAGAGCGGAAUUCCACGUGUAGCGGUGAAAUGCGUAGAGAUGUGGAGGAACACCAGUGGCGAAGGCGGCUCUUUGGUCUGUAACUGACGCUGAGGCGCGAAAGCGUGGGGAGCAAACAGGAUUAGAUACCCUGGUAGUCCACGCCGUAAACGAUGAGUGCUAAGUGUUAGAGGGUUUCCGCCCUUUAGUGCUGCAGCUAACGCAUUAAACACUCCGCCUGGGGAGUACGGCCGCAAGGCUG